GGAGAUUAUAUAUAGGCAUAUUUCAUGCGCAACAACAACACAUCAAUGCAAGAGACAAUUGUAAAGUCAUGAUUUCAAAUUGUGGAGUGAGGUAGAUAAAGGAUUUAUUAUGCAGGUUUAGAUUUACAUUGUCAUGUACAAGUAGCAUGCAGCCACAUAAGAAAUAAAAUUCUGGUUCUUCCAGAUAUCAUUAGAAUGAUCAUAUGGACAUUGUAGGAAUAUUCUGUAAAUAUUUUAGGAAUAUUUUGUAGAUAUUUUUUUUUAUUAAAAUCCCUUAUUUUAAGGGAUCAUAUCUCCUAUUUAGUAUCUUUCCUAACUUAGAGUUUCCUAAAGUAGUGUCAUAGGUUGUAUAUAAAAACUCUGAUUUAUGUUCUAUUUAAUAUAUAUAAUACUCUGAUUUCUACAUGGUAUCAGUUUAGGUUACGAUUUCUUUUUUCAACCUAGACCAUGUCCGAAACUCCUUCUCCUACUUCGGAGAUUACUUCAAAUCCAGAAAAUUUUUCUGGUUCCGAUGCUCCAUCAGAUUCGUCUGGUCUGACUAUCACCUGCCAUCGAUUGAAUGGCAACAAUUUUCUUGAAGGGUCUUGUGAAGGUAAUCUGGUCAUAAAAGAUCCAGAAGGUAACCUUUCUUCUACUGCAUUUUUCUCCUCCCAGUUGACUCCUAAUUGGAUCCUCGAUUUUGGUGCUACGGAUCAUAUGACUGGUAACAAGGCAUUGUUUCACAAUUUUUUCCAUACCUUUGGUAAAGCUGUCAAAACGGCUGAUGGUACCUUGUGCAAAAUAGAGGGACAUGGCACUGUUAUUCUCAAUGAACAGAUUGCACUUAAAAAUGUUCUCUUUGUACCAAAUCUGGCGUGCAAUCUCAUCUCUGUUAGUAAAUUGUCCACAGACUUGCACUGCUCUGUAAUUUUUAAUGAUCGUGAUUGUACUUUGCAGGCACUGAACUCGAAGAAGAUGAUUGGUAAGGCCAGCUUGCAUAAUGGUCUCUACAUCCUCCCUACCUCUCCUAAAAUCGAGAUCUCCAAGUCAUUUACCGCUUUAGGAAAAGUUGAUACUGUUAUGUUAUGGCACUUUCGUUUAGGCCAUCCUAGUUUCCAAUACCUUGCAAAAUUGUUUCCUGCUCUAUUCAUUAAUAAAAGGCCUAAUUCUUUUUCUUGCAAAGUUUGCUCUCUUGCCAAACAUACUAAAUCAUCUUAUUUUCCUUCUACAUACAAGCCUUCUUACCCUUUUGCUUUGAUCCAUAGUGAUAUUUGGGGCCCUUCUUGGGUGAAGAAUGCUGAUAAUUGUAAGUGGUUUAUCACUUUUAUUGAUGAUCACAGUAGGAUAACUUGGACUUAUUUGCUGAAAGAUAAAUCUGAAACUGCUAGUGUUUUUGUGCAAUUUUAUAACAUGGUUCUCACUCAAUUUGGGUCUAAAAUCCAGCUCUUUAAAUCUGAUAAUGGCAGUGAAUUUUUUGCUAGGUCUUUAGGUGAUUUUUUUAAGGAAAAGGGCAUAGUUCAAAUUAGUUCUUGUGUUGGAACCCCACAGCAAAACGGCGUUGCCGAAAGAAAAAAUAAGCACCUUCUUGAAGUUACUCGUUCUCUUCUAUUUACCACUAAUGUUCCUAAAUAUUUGUGGGGGGAAGCCUUAUUAACUGCCACAUAUUUAAUCAACCGGAUGCCUAGUAAGGUUUUAAAAUUUCAAACGCCUCAAUCUAUAUUUUUGCAGCACUUUCCUCAUUUUAAGCCUAUCUCCUCCAUUCUGCCACUUAAAAUUUUUGGCUGCACUGUUUUUAUCCAAAAUAUUGCUCCUAAUAAGUCCAAGUUAGAUCCUAAGUCUUUAAAAUGUGUAUUGGUUGGGUAUUCUUCACUUAAGAAGGGUUAUAAAUGCUAUCAUCCUCCUUCUAAACGAUUUUUCACCACUAUGGAUAUAACAUUUUAUGAGCAGGAUUCCUAUUUCACUCAGGCUGAAAUUCAGGGGGAAACAUGGAGUGAUUUUCAGCCACAACAGGUAUCUCCUUCUAAUCUUCAUUCUCAACCUUCAGAAUUGCCAUCUUGUUCGCCAUUACCUGCAGAUCUGUCACCUGUGAAUGCUCCCAUUGAUUCUCCUGUAGUACCUAUGACUAAUUCACCUACACCUACUUUAAACACUCUUCCUGAAAAUACACCUACUCCAAUUGACAGUCUUCAAAAAACACCAUCACCCAAACAGCUUCGUGUCUACACAAGAAAAAGAAGACAUAUCCCUGAGACUGUUUUGCAAUCUGAUUCUUGCCGAGAAUUGGAUUUGGGUCCAGCUGCUGAAAUGGAAGAAGAAAUCAGUAAGUCCACUACUCUAGAUGACUUUCCUAUUGCUAUUAGAAAAGGGGUUAGACAGUGCACCAAGCAUCCUAUUGAAAAAUUUACUGGUUAUAAUUCAUUGAUGCCGUCUUUUCAAGCAUUUACAGCAACUUUGGAUAAAGAACAGGUUCCCACAAGCAUAGCUGAAGCUCUAAAGGAUCCAAAAUGGAGAAGGGCUGUUGAAGAGGAAAUUUGUGCACUAGAGAAAAAUGCUACUUGGACCAUUACAGACCUUCCUCAAGGAAAAAAGGCUGUCGGCUGUAAAUGGAUCUUUGCUGUAAAGUAUAACUCCAAUGGCAGUAUCCAACGAUACAAAGCUAGACUAGUGGCCAGAGGUUUCACGCAAACAUAUGGGAUAGACUUCACAGAAACUUUUGCACCUGUGGCAAAGCUUAACACUAUUCGAGUACUCCUAAGUUUGACUGUAAAUUGCGAUUGGAAAUUACACCAACUUGAUGUAAAAAACGCAUUUCUUAAUGGCAAGCUUGAGGAAGAAGUCUAUAUGCAAUUGCCACCUGGCUCAAAGUCUAUUGAAGGUAGCAACAAGGUUUGCAAGCUCAACAAGUCUCUAUACGGGUUAAAACAAUCACCCAGAGCUUGGUUCGAGAGGUUCACUAAAGUCAUUCUUCAAAAUGGCUACAAGCAGUCCCUUGCCGAUCAUACGCUUUUCAUCAAGGUAACUUCUACAAAUAAGAAAGCUAUCCUAAUUGUGUAUGUGGAUGACAUCAUUCUUACUGGAGAUGAUGAGGAAGAGAUUAGCAAUUUGAAGAAGUUGUUAAACAGGGAAUUCGAAACCAAGGACUUGGGAAAGCUAAGGUAUUUCCUAGGAAUGGAGGUGGCAAGAUCAAAAGGACUUGUGAUCAACCAGAGAAAGUAUGUACUUGAUUUACUCAAAGAAACUGGUUUUCUUGGCUGUAAGCCGGCUGAUACACCAAUGGAGGCAAACUUGAGAUUCAAUAAAGAAGAUGAGUCCUUAGUAGACAGAGAGAAAUUUCAAAGGUUAGUUGGGAAACUAAUCUACUUAUCCUUGACAAGGCCAGAUAUAACUUUUCCCGUAAAUGUGAUAAGUCAACACAUGACUAAUCCUACUGAAGAGCAUAUGGCAGCAGCAAAUAGAAUUCUCAAGUACUUGAAGAAAACUCCAGGACACGGCUUAAUGUUUAAGAAGACACAAGACAGAACUGUUAAGAUUUUUACAGACUCUAGUUGGGCUGGAGAUCUCACUGAAAGAAGAUCCACUAGUGGGUACUGCACUUUUGUUUGGGGUAACCUUACAACUUGGAGAAGUAAGAAACAAUCUGUUGUUUCAAGAAGUAGUGCUGAAGCUGAAUUUAGAGCACUAGCUUUGGGGGUAUGCGAAGGAAUUUGGCUACUUAAAUUACUAAAAGAACUUGGCACAAAUCAGGAGGAUCACUUUGAAGUUUUGCGUGAUAAUCAAUCUGCCAUUCAGAUUGCCAAGAACCCAGUUCAACAUGACCGAACAAAGCAUGUUGAAAUUGAUAGGCAUUUUAUUGCUGAUCAAGUCAACAAAAAGACGGCCACUCUUUCUUACAUUCCUUCAGAAGGACAGAUUGCAGACAUUCUUACCAAGGCUUUGCCAAAACCUGUGUUCAAUAAAUUCCUAUUCAAGCUGGGAUUAUACAAUGUAUAUUCUCCAGCUUGAGGGGGAGUGUAGGAAUAUUCUGUAAAUAUUUUAGGAAUAUUUUGUAGAUAUUUUUUUUAUUAAAAUCCCUUAUUUUAAGAGAUCAUAUCUCCUAUUUAGUAUCUUUCCUAACUUAGAGUUUCCUAAAGUAGUGUCAUAGGUUGUAUAUAAAAACUCUGAUUUAUGUUCUAUUUAAUAUAUAUAAUACUCUGAUUUCUACAGACAUAAUUUAGGUCAAAAAACAAGCUAACA
Molecule: long non-coding RNA, 4212 nt
Filed under: Gossypium barbadense (sea-island cotton)
Lineage: Eukaryota; Viridiplantae; Streptophyta; Magnoliopsida; Malvales; Malvaceae
Description: long non-coding RNA (GBAR_LNC011225)
Source: RNAcentral